This 87-nucleotide transfer RNA is filed under the name candidate division WWE3 bacterium. RNAcentral's name for it is "tRNA-Leu". It matches the Rfam family "tRNA". From Rfam's summary of the family: Transfer RNA (tRNA) molecules are approximately 80 nucleotides in length. The record is from RNAcentral. Lineage: Bacteria; candidate division WWE3.
GCCGGGAUGGUGAAAUGGUAGACACUCAGGACUUAAAAUCCUGUGCCUGAUAAAGGCGUGCGAGUUCGAGUCUCGCUCCCGGCACCA